This 493-nucleotide ribosomal RNA is filed under the name uncultured bacterium. RNAcentral describes it as "bacterial SSU rRNA". It matches the Rfam family "Bacterial small subunit ribosomal RNA", at positions 26 to 518 of the family's 1533-position model. The record is from RNAcentral.
AGGAUGAACGCUGGCGGCGUGCCUAACACAUGCAAGUCGAACGAAGCAUAGCGGAAUGAGAUUCGUCGAAGGAAGUUAUGACUUAGUGGCGGACGGGUGAGUAAUGUAUGAGCAACCUGCCUUCAGAGGGGGACAACAGUUGGAAACGACUGCUAAUACCGCAUAAUGUAUUUUUAAGGGCAUCCUUGGAAUACCAAAGGAGCAAUCCGCUGAAAGAUGGGCUCAUAUCUGAUUAGUUAGUUGGCAGGGUAACGGCCUACCAAGACUGCGAUCAGUAGCCGGACUGAGAGGUUGAACGGCCACAUUGGGACUGAGAUACGGCCCAGACUCCUACGGGAGGCAGCAGUGGGGAAUAUUGCACAAUGGGGGAAACCCUGAUGCAGCGACGCCCGCGUGAGUGAUGAAGUAUUUCGGUAUGUAAAGCUCUAUCAGCAGGGAAGAUAAUGACGGUACCUGACUAAGAAGCCCCGGCUAACUACGUGCCAGCAGCAGC